AUUAUAUACCAUUUUCAAACUAAAGUACUUUUUGUAUUCAUAUUAAUGGUUAAAAUAUGUUCAUUGUGCUUUACAGCUCAUAUAUCCUGGCUUUAUAUUAGUUAUAACAGUUCUACUGAUGAAAGGUGGUGACGUAAGCCAUUGGAUCACUAAUUUAAAAAGUGAGUGCUGAGAUUCAAUAAAAAGAAAUCAUCACAUUUAUGUGUAUGCUCUUUGAUUUGUUUGUAUUUUUGAUAUGAAAAUCAUAUGCACAUUUUCGUUAAUAGCAAUAGCAAUAUUACUGUCACGUCGGUAUAGUAUCAAUGAGAUAGAUUAAAGACGUUUUAGGAUCGAAAUGAGAUUACAGAACGGUCUUAUAAUUAAAUUUGAAUCACUGUAUUUAGUUUUUGGAGCUUUGAUUAACUCACUAGACAACUACGCUCUCCUAAGUGAAAAACAAAUGUAAUAUAAUAUCAUGGUAUUAUUUCUGCCCCCUCCCCGCCCCCACCCCCACCCACCCCCCACACACCCCACAACUCCCUUCGAAGAAUAUGGGGUAUAUUGUUUUGAUCACUGACUGUCUGUCGGUCGGUCUGUAGACCAUUUGGUUUUCCUUCUAUAUUUUCUUAUUUUAACAAUGGUUUAAUUUGCAUAGCGUGAUUGCAUGUCAUCCGUGAGUAUCCCCUAUUGUUUAGAAGGACAUUAGUUAUGUUGAUCUCAAAACUGAAAAAUAAACGUUUCCAUUUAAUAACUAAUCAGAGUGAUGAUAUAGUCGUCAAACCUUAUUUAGUUGACAGCCUGUGGACAGUAGAUGGCACGUAAUGAGUUCAGAAAGCAGAAGGUCAAUGUGACAGAGACCUUGGGACUGAAAACGGGUUUUCCUUAAUAAAUGAAAAACGCAACGAACUUCACAUGAUUAUUGCCUGUUGCGAUAGGAAUCAUCGUCCAAGAUAUAUUCCGUUUCUUCGGAAUUAGUGCAAAAAAGCCCAAAAGCAACACCUCUGGUAAUUCAGCAAAACGGACGAGAUCACAGCCGUAUGAGAAUCUGCGUGGAAAAAUGCUAAAUACAUGCAUUAUUAAUAGGAAAGAAUACGAUAAGAAUUUUGAUUUAGCAAAACAGCUCGCUAACGAGGGUGCAAUACUUACGUAUGAUGAUAUACCCUGGCCAAAUAAGAAUGGCAGAGACGGCGACUGUGAUAUACUGUUUGAGGGCAUGGAUAUAACAAGUACAGAAUAUAAGGAAAGGGUGCGCAAAGAAAGGUUUCGGUGGCACCCAGAUAAAUUUGCUCACAAGUUUGGGAAUAGUUUAAAACCUGAGGAUGAAUAUGCUAUUAUGACACGUGUGAAAGAUAUAUCACAGAAUAUUAAUGAAUUAAUAGAAAUGGACAAAGAUAUGUCAUAUGAUUAGUUUAAACACUGUUUAUUCAUUUUAUAGUUGUAAAUUACACAAUUUGUAUACAUAUAAGUUACAAACAAUAUUGAGUAGAAGGCUUUUAGCUUGUUAAAAAAACUAAUUCCUGAAAUAUUUCAUAUUACUGAUAAAACUUUUUAUCAUGUCAUGAUCAUUAUAUUCAUUUCUAUUUUGUCACAAAUUGCGGGGAGUUUAUGUCUAAAAUACAACAUAAAAUAAACAUUUACUCUUCAAAAAAAUAAUCCAUACAAACGUUGAAACCAACAAAAUUACGUCUUAUUAUAUUUACGCUGCUUCGCAGAAGGACGAAGGAAUAUGAAAGGAACUUUGUUUAGUCCAUAGAAUACACAAUCUUAAACGUAAUUUUCGUGAUACACCGUGACUAGACAAGGAUAGUGCAGAAUGUGAAUGGAAUGCCAUAUUCUGUCUUAUGGGGUAUAUUAAUUGCUCACACUGUAAGACAUACGUACGCAGGCGAAAGCUCUGUCGGAAUCUGUACAUGCUCAAAAGUAUAUGGUAAUACAGACUACGAAUGGAUUGGUUGAAUAUGCAUAUACAGACAUAUGGCCUCCAACACAUUUUCUGAAAUCACAUGUAGAUGAACUUCUCUCUAGUAUCACUAAAUUGGUGAAUCUCUCAAUACAACAAGGUGUUUUUCCUGUGAAAUACAAACAAGUAGUUGUAAGACCUCUUCUUAAAAUAGCCGAUCUUGAACUAGAGCUCUCUAAUUAUCGUCCUGUCAGUAAUUUAUCAUUUUUAUCAAAACUUAUUGAGAAAGCUGUUCUUUACAGAUUAAACAAAUAUGUAAAUCAAAACAGUCUUUUGCCUAAGAACCAGUCUGCAUACAGGAAAUACCAUUUCUGUGAAUCUGCGCUACUUCGGUUAGUCAAUGAUCUUCUAAGUGGCAUGGAGAAAAAGGAUGUCACAACCCUUAUUGCAAUUGACUUAAGUGCGGCAUUUGACACUGUCGACCACGACAUUCUUCUAGAUGUCCUAAAAGCACAAAAUGGCGUCGAAGAUACAGCUUUUCAAUGGGUGGACUCCUACUUAAGGCCUCGUACUUGUAAGAUUGAAAUCAACAAUUUAUAUUCAUCAGACCGCCAUUUUGAAUGCAGUGUGCCCAAGGACAGUUGCCUUGGUCCUUGGCUGUAUCUCACCUAUGCUGGAACUCUUUUUGAUGUCAUUCCAAAAUCCAUGUAAGUCUACGGUUUUGCUGAUGAUCAUAUAGGAAAUAAAAGCUUUCGUCUUACAUCUGUUUCCGUAGAAUCACAAGCGAUCGGACACCUUGAAAGGUGCGCCAUUCAAUGUCUGAAUGAAUAGAAACAAACUGAAAAUGAUCACUUCCAAAACUGAAAUUAUUAUGUUUGGUAGCAGACCUCAAUUGAACAAAUGUUUUACAAAUUCCAUUUACAUUGCUGGUGAUGAUGUCAAACGUGAAAGCACAAUUAGAUAGUUCGGUGCAUUUCUUGACAAAACCUUGAACUUUUAAUAAAAGAUCAUGUAAAUCGAAAAUGUCGUACAACCAUGUUGAAUUACCUACGAAUUAAGAACAUCCGAAAAUACUUAACAAAAGCAGCCACUGAAAUUUUAGUUUUGUCUCUACUUUUUUCACAUCUGGAUUAUUGCAAUGUCAUACUGUAUGGUGUAGGUAACUGUGAGGUGCGUAAGAUGCAACGUAUUCAAAACAUGUGCGCGAAACUUGUCCUUAACAGGAGGAAAUUUGAAAGUUUUAAAAAAGCAUUGUAUCAUUAACAUUGGUUGCCGGUGAAAGCAAGAAUUGAGUUCAAGAUUCUUUCUUUCAUGUAUAGCUGUCACACUGGCAGAGCACCUCUGUACUUAACAGAAUUGCUUACAGAGUAUAUUCCUAGUAGACAAGGUUUGAGAUCGUCUGAAAAUUCUGAAUGUCGUUAUGUUGUUUCAUACAACAAAUGCAAAACAUUCAAUGAUAGAAGUUUCUGUACUAUUGGUCCAAACUUUUGGAAUGAACUGCCGUUUGAACUACGCAAAAGUAAAUCACUUGACACAUUCAAACAAAACUCUUAAGACGCUGUAUUUUAGAGAUUUUGUGGCAUUGUUUUAAUUUUUGAUAACUGUUUAUCAUGCGAAAACAGCACGUGAUAGUUCUUAAAUUUUUGUAAAAGGUUUUACAUUUCAACAUUUAUAUCUCCAUGGUUUGUUUAAUAAACACACUUUUUGGUAGGUCUCUAUGUGAAGAGUAGUAUGUAGUUUUUCUUUCUUAAAUUUUAGUAUAUGAUGGCACAAUUAACCGAGGUUUUUGAACCUCUAUAUGCAGCUCGUCUGGGCGUACCAGUUGCUUUAAGCACUUGUAUUGGCAAUAGCGGUAAAAGGGCCUCAAGGGGAGGGGUGCGGUCAUGACUGUUUACAAUAAGACUGCUAUUAUUAUUAUUAUUAUUAUUAUUGUCAUUAUUAAUGUUGUUAUGAUAACUAUUAUUAUUAUGUACAACGCCAUUGAAUAUAUUCUUGUAUAAACAUAGGCGUUUAAUCAAAUUAUUCAGUUUCAAUUUCAGUUUCAGACAGAACUUUGUCAAAGUUUGUAAAUGUAUCCGAUUUUCACGACCGAUGUCAGUAAUUCCUUAUUCCUUCAUUUUAAUUUCCAGAUGUUAAAUUCCAAUUCCAUAUUGUGUAUCAACCUUCAUGAAGUAAAUCUGCUGAGUAAUUCUAUGAAUUUUGAUGUAAAACACUGUAUUUUAAUGUAUUAUCCAGUACACCUGUUGCCUAGAAUCUUAUCCGCCAUGUUUGUUUACAUGGACCGUGAAUAGUUGCAAAGGGAGUGAAUAUUUUCAUACCAAAAUUUACGGCUGUUUACACUAAAUCUUUUCCAGACAACAUUAGCUGAGGUUUACUUUGUAGUUUUCUCUAUGUCUAAUAAAUACUUUGUGUCUUUGUGUAUUUUUCAGUCCGCUAGAGCCAUUUAAACUUUCCCCACAGUUUUUCUGGACCGCAACUUUUCUGUGGACGCCACAAAUUUUCUGUGGUCACCACAAUAUUUCUAUAGGGCGUUCGUGAAUUCCACCAUUUUUUGUGGGAUGUUCGGUGACAGUAUAUAUAGGGGCUGCUCACCGUCAUUCUGGAGCUCCAACACAAAAAUUUCGGCUGCACACCGUAUUUGGCCGUUCUUCGAAAUUUGCAAUAUUUUGGCUUGAAAUCGAAAUUAUAAAGGUGUGCACCAUUUUUAUUAGUUUUAUUUAUGGAAUUCUAGUUUCUUUUUGGAAAAGGAAGAAUUAUUUGCUGUAUUUAAAUUAUUUUGCAGAAAUCAAACAUUGGCUCGAAAAACUGAUAGAUCAAGCUGCUUUGCCACUAUUCCUUUUUAGAUUUUAUUCAUUGUUUGAUGAUUUAUUUAUGAGAAACAAUAGAUUCUAUUAAGCCGGAUUUGUUAAUUAAAUGAUAGAAACUUUUAA
Molecule: RNA transcript, 4809 nt
Organism: Mercenaria mercenaria
Lineage: Eukaryota; Metazoa; Mollusca; Bivalvia; Venerida; Veneridae
Gene name: NF-kappa-B inhibitor-like protein 1
Exons: 2
Source: RefSeq, a predicted model, not a curated record